CUCUUUUCUCUUUGCUUCCUCCUCCUUCCCCUUUCUAAUAAAACUUCUCACUUAAGCUCUGUCUGCCUGGCAUGCUUGUCCCUCCUCCUCGGUCACCCUCGUCUGCCAUGGAAUCCGCCAAGGUCCCCUCGUGUUUUAUCAUAACAAGGAGGUCUACUGAGAUGGAGAGGAACACCAUAGCUACAGCUUCUACCACAUUUGCAAGCUGCAGAGGGGUUUUGUACCAACGUGGAACAGCACCACAUCACAGCAAUGCUGUGUAAUUCAUCAUAUGAUCUUCUCUGGAGCCAAAUGAUUCGGUUGUUGUCUUAAAGAACACAGCCAGAGAGCCAGGAACCUUCUUUCCUUCCUCUGCAUGUUCCUUGGGUCCAGGAAGAUGGUUUGCUGUCACAAUCCAUGGGAACUAAAAGGGGCAAAGCUCUGUUGUUUUGGAUAGGUGGCCCGGAAGAGCUGAAAGGCCCCUGUUCUCCGCAGGCUACCUGGAGCAAAGACACUGCGUCCACUCUUGUCCCACCUUCUGUAAGAGACACUUCUCUUUUUAUCUCUUCUAGAAAUACACAAUGUGGCCCCCUCUUAUAAACAAUCCAGUGGUUGAAA
Mesocricetus auratus (golden hamster) is the source of this 597-nucleotide long non-coding RNA. RefSeq lists it as uncharacterized. The record is from RefSeq and is a predicted model, not a curated record. Lineage: Eukaryota; Metazoa; Chordata; Mammalia; Rodentia; Cricetidae. The transcript has 3 exons.